GCUGGGCAUGGUGGCUCAUGCCUGUAGUCUCAGCACUUUGGGAGGCCGAGGUAGGAGGAUCGCUUGAGGCCAGGAGUUCAAGACCAACCUGGCCAACAUAGCGAGACCUUAUCUCUU
Molecule: non-coding RNA, 117 nt
Filed under: Gorilla gorilla gorilla (western lowland gorilla)
Lineage: Eukaryota; Metazoa; Chordata; Mammalia; Primates; Hominidae
Source: Rfam by way of RNAcentral